UACGGGGGGGGCAAGCGUUGUUCGGAAUUACUGGGCGUAAAGGGCUCGUAGGUGGCCAACUAAGUCAUGCGUGAAAUCCCUCGGCUUAACUGGGGAACUGCGUCUGAUACUGGAUGGCUUGAGUGUGGGAGAGGAAUGCGGAAUUCCAGGUGUAGCGGUGAAAUGCGUAGAUAUCUGGAGGAACACCGGUGGCGAAGGCGGCCACCUGGGCCGGAACUGACGCUGAGGCGCGAAAGCGUGGGGAGCAAACGGG
This 253-nucleotide ribosomal RNA is filed under the name uncultured bacterium. RNAcentral's name for it is "partial 16S ribosomal RNA". It matches the Rfam family "Bacterial small subunit ribosomal RNA", at positions 524 to 776 of the family's 1533-position model. The record is from RNAcentral.